AUAGUGGGGGAUAGCCUUUCGAAAGGAAGAUUAAUACCGCAUAAGAUUGUAGUAUCGCAUGAUAUAGCAAUUAAAAGGAGCAAUUCGCUAUAAGAUGGACCCGCGUCGCAUUAGCUAGUUGGUGAGGUAAUGGCUCACCAAGGCGACGAUGCGUAGCCGACCUGAGAGGGUGAACGGCCACAUUGGGACUGAGACACGGCCCAGACUCCUACGGGAGCAGCAUG
Molecule: ribosomal RNA, 224 nt
Filed under: uncultured bacterium
Lineage: Bacteria
Description: partial 16S ribosomal RNA
Rfam family: Bacterial small subunit ribosomal RNA
Source: RNAcentral